GACGAACGCUGGCGGCGUGCUUAACACAUGCAAGUCGAACGGUAAGGCCCUUCGGGGUACACGAGUGGCGAACGGGUGAGUAACACGUGGGUGAUCUGCCCUGCACUUCGGGAUAAGCCUGGGAAACUGGGUCUAAUACCGGAUAGGACCACUGCCUGCAUGGGUGGUGGUGGAAAGCUUUUGCGGUGUGGGGUGGGCCCGCGGCCUAUCAGCUUGUUGGUGGGGUGAUGGCCUACCAAGGCGACGACGGGUAGCCGGCCUGAGAGGGUGACCGGCCACACUGGGACUGAGAUACGGCCCAGACUCCUACGGGAGGCAGCAGUGGGGAAUAUUGCACAAUGGGCGCAAGCCUGAUGCAGCGACGCCGCGUGAGGGAUGACGGCCUUCGGGUUGUAUACCUCUUUCAGCACCGACGAAGCGCAAGUGACGGUAGGUGCAGAAGAAGGACCGGCCAACUACGUGCCAGCAGCCGCAGUAA
This 478-nucleotide ribosomal RNA is filed under the name uncultured bacterium. RNAcentral's name for it is "partial 16S ribosomal RNA". It matches the Rfam family "Bacterial small subunit ribosomal RNA", at positions 28 to 523 of the family's 1533-position model. The record is from RNAcentral.